AGAGUUGAUCAUGGCUCAGGACGAACGCUGGCGGUAUGCCUCACACAUGCAAGUCGAGCGGUAAGCAGUAGCAAUACUGCCUAGAGCGGCGGACGGGUGAGUAAUGUAUGAACAAUCUGCCCUAUACUACAGGAUAACAUUCAGAAAUGGAUGCUAAUACUGUAUAAGACCACAUCAAGGCAUCUUGGAGUGGUAAAAGAAUUUCGGUAUAGGAUGAGUUCAUAUCCCAUUAGCUAGUUGGUAGGGUAAAAGCCUACCAAGGCCGCGAUGGGUAGCCGACCUGAGAGGGUGAACGGCCACACUGGAAUUGAGAAACGGUCCAGACUCCUACGGGAGGCAGCAGUGGGGAAUAUUGGGCAAUGGAGGGAACUCUUACCCAGCAAUACCGCGUGAAGGAAGAAGGUUUUCGGAUUGUAAACUUCUGUUAUAGGUGACGAAGAAUGACGGUAGCCUAUAAGGAAGCCCCGGCAAACUAUGUGCCAGCCGCCGC
RNAcentral lists this ribosomal RNA (490 nucleotides) under uncultured bacterium. RNAcentral describes it as "bacterial SSU rRNA". It matches the Rfam family "Bacterial small subunit ribosomal RNA", at positions 8 to 518 of the family's 1533-position model. The record is from RNAcentral.